GCUGGCAUGGCUCAGUGGUUAGAGCUUCAUCCCACACACUGAAGGGUCCUGGGUUCGAUUCCCAGGUGAGGGCA
RNAcentral lists this transfer RNA (74 nucleotides) under Myotis lucifugus (little brown bat). It matches the Rfam family "tRNA". From Rfam's summary of the family: Transfer RNA (tRNA) molecules are approximately 80 nucleotides in length. The record is from Rfam by way of RNAcentral. Lineage: Eukaryota; Metazoa; Chordata; Mammalia; Chiroptera; Vespertilionidae.